ACCGUGCAAAGGUAGCAUAAUCAUUAGUUUUUUAAUUGAAAGCUGGUAUGAAUGGUUGGACGAGAAAAUAACUGUCUCAAUUUAAUUUUUAUUAGAAUUUUAUUUAUAAGUAAAAAAGCUUAUAUGUAUUUAAAAGACGAGAAGACCCUAUAGAAUUUUAUAUAUGAAUAUACAUAUUAUUUUUAGAAUUUUAAUUUUUAUGUAUAUUAUUAUAUUUUGUUGGGGCGAUAGAAAAAUUAGAUUAACUUUUUUUGUGUUAAAACAUUAAUGUAUGAUUAAUUGAUCCGUUUUUUACGAUUAUAAGAUUAAAUUACCUUAGGGAUAACAGCGUAAUUUUUUUUUAGAGUUCUUAUCGAAAAAAGAGUUU
RNAcentral lists this ribosomal RNA (367 nucleotides) under Trypoxylus dichotomus. RNAcentral's name for it is "partial 16S ribosomal RNA". The record is from RNAcentral. Lineage: Eukaryota; Metazoa; Arthropoda; Insecta; Coleoptera; Scarabaeidae.